RNAcentral lists this ribosomal RNA (1038 nucleotides) under Corynebacterium sp. Its description in RNAcentral is "bacterial SSU rRNA". It matches the Rfam family "Bacterial small subunit ribosomal RNA", at positions 50 to 1103 of the family's 1533-position model. The record is from RNAcentral. Lineage: Bacteria; Bacillati; Actinomycetota; Actinomycetes; Mycobacteriales; Corynebacteriaceae.
AAAACAUGCAGUCGAACGGAAAGGCCCUGCUUGCAGGGUACUCGAGUGGCGAACGGGUGAGUAACACGUGGGUGAUCUGCCCUGUACUUUGGGAUAAGCCUGGGAAACUGGGUCUAAUACCGAAUAUGACCACUUCUUGGAUGGGGUGGUGGAAAGCUUUUGCGGUAUGGGAUGAGCUCGCGGCCUAUCAGCUUGUUGGUGGGGUAAUGGCCUACCAAGGCGUCGACGGGUAGCCGGCCUGAGAGGGUGUACGGCCACAUUGGGACUGAGAUACGGCCCAGACUCCUACGGGAGGCAGCAGUGGGGAAUAUUGCACAAUGGGCGCAAGCCUGAUGCAGCGACGCCGCGUGGGGGAUGACGGCCUUCGGGUUGUAAACUCCUUUCGCAACCGACGAAGCUUUUGUGACGGUAGGUUGAGAAGAAGCACCGGCUAACUACGUGCCAGCAGCCGCGGUAAUACGUAGGGUGCGAGCGUUGUCCGGAAUUACUGGGCGUAAAGAGCUCGUAGGUGGUUUGUCGCGUCGUUUGUGGAAUACCGCAGCUUAACUGCGGGGUUGCAGGCGAUACGGGCAUAACUUGAGUGCUGUAGGGGAGACUGGAAUUCCUGGUGUAGCGGUGGAAUGCGCAGAUAUCAGGAGGAACACCGAUGGCGAAGGCAGGUCUCUGGGCAGUAACUGACGCUGAGGAGCGAAAGCAUGGGGAGCGAACAGGAUUAGAUACCCUGGUAGUCCAUGCCGUAAACGGUGGGCGCUAGGUGUGAGUCCCUUCCACGGGGUUCGUGCCGUAGCUAACGCAUUAAGCGCCCCGCCUGGGGAGUACGGCCGCAAGGCUAAAACUCAAAGGAAUUGACGGGGGCCCGCACAAGCGGCGGAGCAUGUGGAUUAAUUCGAUGCAACGCGAAGAACCUUACCUGGGCUUGACAUACACUGGAUCGGGCUAGAGAUAGUCUUUCCCUUUGUGGCUGGUGUACAGGUGGUGCAUGGUUGUCGUCAGCUCGUGUCGUGAGAUGUUGGGUUAAGUCCCGCAACGAGCGCAACC